AAGCACUGCCUUUGAAUCUGAUGUGUUUUGUUUGUAGGUUCAUGGGCCAAGCAACAGUGCUAGAGUAUAGGGACUUAUUAUAACUGGGACUCCAGCUCUCUCAACAGAACUGCUGUUUUAAAAACAAGGCAUUU
Molecule: small nucleolar RNA, 134 nt
Organism: Eptesicus fuscus (big brown bat)
Lineage: Eukaryota; Metazoa; Chordata; Mammalia; Chiroptera; Vespertilionidae
Source: RefSeq, a predicted model, not a curated record